GAUGAACGCUAGCGACAGGCCUAACACAUGCAAGUCGAGGGGCAGCAUGGUUGUAGCAAUACAACUGAUGGCGACCGGCAAACGGGUGAGUAACAAGUGAGCAACCUGCCUAUAACUGGAGGAUAACCCGUCGAAAGACGGACUAAUACUGCAUAAUAUUGAGAUAUCGCAUGAUAUUUCAAUUAAACUUUUUGGGUUAUAGAUGGGCUCGCCUUCCAUUAGCUAGUUGGUAAGGUAACGGCUUACCAAGGCGACGAUGGAUAGGGGUUCUGAGAGGAAGGUCCCCCACACUGGAACCGAGACACGGUCCAGACUCCUACGGGAGCAGCAGUGAGGAAUAUUGGUCAAUGGGCGCAAGCCUGAACCAGCCAAGUAGCGUGAAGGAUGACUGCCCUAUGGGCUGUAAACUUCUUUUAUACGGGAACAAUCGCAGGUACGUGUACCUGUCUGCGUGUACCGUAUGAAUAAGCAUCGGCUAACUCCGUGCCAG
Molecule: ribosomal RNA, 490 nt
Filed under: uncultured bacterium
Lineage: Bacteria
Description: bacterial SSU rRNA
Rfam family: Bacterial small subunit ribosomal RNA
Source: RNAcentral